UGGGGAAUAUUGCACAAUGGAGGGAACUCUGAUGCAGCGACGCCGCGUGAACGAAGAAUGCUUUCGAGUCGUAAAGUUCUUUUAUAUGGGAAGAUAAUGACGGUACCAUAAGAAAAAGCCCCGGCUAACUACGUGCCAGCAGCCGCGGUAAUACGUAGGGGGCUAGCGUUGUCCGGAAUCACUGGGCGUAAAGGGUUCGCAGGCGGAAAUGCAAGUCAGGUGUAAAAGGAAGUAGCUUAACUACUGUAAGCAUUUGAAACUGCAUAUCUUGAGAAGAGUAGAGGUAAGUGGAAUUUUUAGUGUAGCGGUGAAAUGCGUAGAUAUUAAAAAGAAUAACGGUGGAGAAGGCGACUUACUGGGCUCAUUCUGACGCUGAGGAACGAAAGCGUGGGUAGCAAACAGG
Molecule: ribosomal RNA, 403 nt
Filed under: Fusobacteriota bacterium
Lineage: Bacteria; Fusobacteriati; Fusobacteriota
Description: Fusobacteria bacterium partial 16S ribosomal RNA
Rfam family: Bacterial small subunit ribosomal RNA
Source: RNAcentral